GUGGGGAAUCUUGCGCAAUGGGCGAAAGCCUGACGCAGCCAUGCCGCGUGAAUGAUGAAGGUCUUAGGAUUGUAAAAUUCUUUCACCGGGGACGAUAAUGACGGUACCCGGAGAAGAAGCUCCGGCUAACUUCGUGCCAGCAGCCGCGGUAAUACGAAGGGGGCUAGCGUUGCUCGGAAUUACUGGGCGUAAAGGGCGCGUAGGGGGACAGCUUAGUCAGAGGUGAAAGCCCAGGGCUCAACCUUGGAAUUGCCUUUGAUACUGGCUGUCUUGAGUUUGGGAGAGGUGAGUGGAACUCCGAGUGUAGAGGUGAAAUUCGUAGAUAUUCGGAAGAACACCAGUGGCGAAGGCGACUCACUGGCCCAAUACUGACGCUGAGGCGCGAAAGCGUGGGGAGCAAACAGGAUUAGAAACCCGAGUAGUCC
This 425-nucleotide ribosomal RNA is filed under the name uncultured bacterium. RNAcentral describes it as "partial 16S ribosomal RNA". It matches the Rfam family "Bacterial small subunit ribosomal RNA", at positions 354 to 796 of the family's 1533-position model. The record is from RNAcentral.